UGGGGAAUUUUGGACAAUGGGCGCAAGCCUGAUCCAGCCAUGCCGCGUGAGUGAAGAAGGCCUUCGGGUUGUAAAGCUCUUUCAGUUGGGAAGAAACGAUUGCAACUAAUAAUUGUAAUUAAUGACGGUACCGACAGAAGAAGCACCGGCUAACUACGUGCCAGCAGCCGCGGUAAUACGUAGGGUGCGAGCGUUAAUCGGAAUUACUGGGCGUAAAGGGUGCGCAGGCGGUUUUGUAAGUCAGAUGUGAAAUCCCCGGGCUUAACCUGGGAAUGGCGUUUGAAACUGCAAGGCUAGAGUGUAGCAGAGGGGAGUGGAAUUCCGCGUGUAGCAGUGAAAUGCGUAGAUAUGCGGAGGAACACCGAUGGCGAAGGCAGCUCCCUGGGCUAACACUGACGCUCAUGCACGAAAGCGUGGGGAGCAAACA
RNAcentral lists this ribosomal RNA (427 nucleotides) under uncultured beta proteobacterium. RNAcentral's name for it is "bacterial SSU rRNA". It matches the Rfam family "Bacterial small subunit ribosomal RNA", at positions 355 to 774 of the family's 1533-position model. The record is from RNAcentral. Lineage: Bacteria; Pseudomonadati; Pseudomonadota; Betaproteobacteria.